GACGAACGCUGGCGGCGUGGAUAGGCAUGCAAGUCGAACGGUAUCAUCCUUUCGGGGGUGAGGGAGUGGCGAACUGGUGAGUAACACGUAGGUUAUCUACCCUCAAGACGGGGACAACCCAGGGAAACUUGGGCUAAUACCGGAUGUGAGCAACUUUUAGUUGUUUGAAAGGUGGCGUAAGCUGUCGCUUGGGGAUGAGCCUGCGUCCUAUUAGUUAGUUGGUGAGGUAACGGCUCACCUAGGCAAUGAUAGGUAGGCGGCCUUAACGGGUGGUCGCCCACACUGGGAUUGAGAUACGGCCCAGACUCCUACGGGAGGCAGCAGUCGAGAAUAGUCUACAAUGGUCGGAAGACUGAUAGUGCGACGCCGCGUGAACGAUGAAUCCCUUCGGGUGUAAAGUUCUUUUAUAUGUGAGCAGUGCUUCUUAUAUUAACAGUAUGGGGAGAGAGAUAUUAGCAUAUGAAUAAGCAACGGCUAACUCCGUGCCAGCAGCCGCGGUAAACUCGUCU
This 509-nucleotide ribosomal RNA is filed under the name uncultured bacterium. RNAcentral's name for it is "bacterial SSU rRNA". It matches the Rfam family "Bacterial small subunit ribosomal RNA", at positions 28 to 530 of the family's 1533-position model. The record is from RNAcentral.